CCUGGGUGUGUGGAAACCAACCCGAAUAUGAUUUGAGGCAGAUUCUCUCCCUCCUUCUUUCCCCCAGGGACUCUAGUCCUGACUUAAUGUAUCAAACGAAGCUCCAGGAUUUAAUCAAGAAAGGAGGCCAUCAGGAAAAAGAAAAUCAACUCUGAAGCUUAGCUGAAAAUAAUUUGCAUUUUGGGAGCUGUGCGUUAGGGAUGUUUGGUCCAAGCUCUUUCAUGGGGAGAUAAAAUGAAAAUGAUGUGCUUUAUUACUUUGAAAGUCAUACCCUUCUAAUAACAGGGAGAAUAGGAAGCUUUUCUGAUUUAUUCUGCUGAACCAUCACUAUCUGGAGUCAUUUGCACUCAUGGACCAUUGGGAGAACAUUAAUUGACCAAAAAGAGGCUGCUGUUAUUGUCGAGGCAGCAUUGUGUAUCCUUCUGAAAUGGCUGAUCCUGACCUGGGCUCUUGACUUUGCCCCCUCAGACUCUAGCUUUUAUGGGACUGGAUGGAUCUACUGCCAGAGGUCAAGUAGUGCCAGACUGAAAAGCUUUAUCAAUUCCAGAACCUCACCGAGUACCUCCUACUAGGAAAUUUGAAUGUGAACACCUUGGUAACAUCUCAACCACGCACUUGGGAGCUUUUGCCUAUAAUUCAAAGCAAACCGAAAAAGAAAUUAUUCCCACCAUGUUGCAAAAAUUGAAAUGGAAAAAGAACUGUUGAUUCUAAUUCCUCAACCCAGGACUUCAGAUGCCAAUAAUGAUUGCAAAGAAUAAACACCCACUGAGUGCAUCUCAGAAACCGAA
Molecule: long non-coding RNA, 788 nt
Filed under: Homo sapiens (human)
Lineage: Eukaryota; Metazoa; Chordata; Mammalia; Primates; Hominidae
Description: HSALNT0145996
Source: RNAcentral